GAUGAAGAACGUAGCGAAAUGCGAUACUUGGUGUGAAUUGCAGAAUCCCGUGAACCAUCGAGUCUUUGAACGCAAGUUGCGCCCGAAGCCAUCAGGUUGAGGGCACGUCUGCCUGGGCGUCACAUAUCGUUGCCCAAUGCCUAUUGCAGUGCAAUAGGAAUUGCUAGGGCGAAUGAUGGCUUCCCGUGAGCGUUGUUGCCUCGCGGUUGGUUGAAAAUCGAGUCCUUGGUAGGGUGUGCCAUGGUAGAUGGUGGUCGAGUUAGAACGAUACCGAUCAUGUGCAUGCUCCCCAAAAUAUGGCCUCUAUGACCCACACGCGUCUUUUGACGCUCAUGACGAGACCUCAGGUCAGGCGGGGCUACCCGCUGAAUUUAAGCAUAUCAAUAAGCGGAGGA
Molecule: unclassified non-coding RNA, 395 nt
Filed under: soil metagenome
Description: partial contains 5.8S ribosomal RNA, internal transcribed spacer 2, and large subunit ribosomal RNA
Rfam family: 5.8S ribosomal RNA (bases 1-122)
Source: RNAcentral